This 238-nucleotide long non-coding RNA is filed under the name Gossypium barbadense (sea-island cotton). RNAcentral's name for it is "long non-coding RNA (GBAR_LNC015797)". Lineage: Eukaryota; Viridiplantae; Streptophyta; Magnoliopsida; Malvales; Malvaceae. The record is from RNAcentral.
UUCUAACCGCACAUCAGAAGGUAAACUAAAGAAAACGAGCAUUUGAGUUGGAUGAUCUAGAAUUUUACUCAAUGCUCGAUACCGCUCAUCCACUGUUAAACCUUCUAUUUCACAUAAGGUUGAAUAUAAAUUUGUAGCUUUUUCUUGGAUGAUCUGGAAUUCUUCUGACUUCUGUUGAACUACCACAUCGGAGGCAAUACUCCUACUGAUUUGUUCGCCAAUGGCCCUCAUGUUUUCG